This 563-nucleotide ribosomal RNA is filed under the name uncultured bacterium. RNAcentral's name for it is "bacterial SSU rRNA". It matches the Rfam family "Bacterial small subunit ribosomal RNA", at positions 938 to 1506 of the family's 1533-position model. The record is from RNAcentral.
CAUGUGGUUUAAUUCGAAUGAUACGCGAGGAACCUUACCUGGGCUAGAAUGCCGGUGGACCGGGGGUGAAAGCUCCCUUUCCAGCAAUGGACCGCCGGUAAGGUGCUGCAUGGCUGUCGUCAGCUCGUGCCGUGAGGUGUUGGGUUAAGUCCCGCAACGAGCGCAACCCCCAUCAUUAGUUGCCAUCAGGUAAAGCUGGGAACUCUAAUGAAACUGCCGUCGUAAGACGUGAGGAAGGAGGGGAUGAUGUCAAGUCAUCAUGGCCUUUAUGCCCAGGGCUACACACGUGCUACAAUGGAGGGGACAAAGGGCUGCCACUUGGCGACAAGGAGCUAAUCCCAAAAACCCCUUCUCAGUUCAGAUUGCAGUCUGCAACUCGACUGCAUGAAGCUGGAAUCGCUAGUAAUCGUAGAUCAGCAAUGCUACGGUGAAUACAUUCCCGGACCUUGCACACACCGCCCGUCAAGCCAUGGAAGCCGGGUGUACCUAAAGUCGGUAACCGCAAGGAGCCGCCUAGGGUAAAACUGGUGACUGGGGCUAAGUCGUAACAAGGUAACCGUAAA